Molecule: ribosomal RNA, 334 nt
Filed under: uncultured eukaryote
Lineage: Eukaryota
Description: partial 18S ribosomal RNA
Rfam family: Eukaryotic small subunit ribosomal RNA
Source: RNAcentral
CCCUUAGAUGUCCGGGGCCGCACGCGCGCUACACUGAAGGAAUCAGCGUGGCUUUCUCCCUGACCCGAAAGGGUUGGGAAACCCGUUGAAUCUCCUUCGUGAUAGGGAUUGGGGCUUGAAAUUGUUCCCCAUGAACGAGGAAUUCCCAGUAAGCGCGAGUCAUAAGCUCGCGUUGAUUACGUCCCUGCCCUUUGUACACACCGCCCGUCGCUACUACCGAUUGAACGGUUUAGUGAGGGCCUCGGAUUGGUCUCGGCCCGCUCUUUACCGGGCGGCGCCGUUGGUCGAGAAGACGCUCGAACUUGAUCGUUUAGAGGAAGUAAAAGUCAUAACA